This is a long non-coding RNA of Boleophthalmus pectinirostris (great blue-spotted mudskipper), 1148 nucleotides long. RefSeq lists it as uncharacterized. The transcript has 3 exons. Lineage: Eukaryota; Metazoa; Chordata; Actinopteri; Gobiiformes; Gobiidae. The record is from RefSeq and is a predicted model, not a curated record.
GGGGCUGUGUUUUGCCCGGGUACAGCAGCAGCAGGCGGACUGUAGGCUGAUCCAGGAUCUUCAAACUUAAAAAGCCCCUCCGCUUCUGAUUGGUCCGGACUGGAAACGAGAAGCGCUGAUGCUGCUUUCAUAGUGAAGGCCAAUGCCCCCCCACUGCUGGACACUGAACAGGGGUCUACAAGGAAGAAUUCAAAGUAUAUGACAAAAACAGGCUACAGUCCAACACAGAGCAGGAUGUACUGACAACUGAAGGACUUGAGAAGAAAACAGGUCCACAGUAGAAGAAUGCAGAAGAUGCCUGCAGAGCAAUGUGGAAGCAGUGAGACAGACCAGUGCACCCUCUACUGGACACACUCUCAAAGUGUACUAGUUUCCAGCCCACGCAAAAGUCUACAGAUGUGUAACAAAUAAACACACACUUUGAAGAAGAUUCAAAUGCUCUUGUGUAUACACUUUGGCAAGAAAUACAACAGGAGACACACUGUUUCCUUCAACCUACCAAGCACUGAUGAAGAUGAGGUUGACAAACUUGCCCUCUCAGAAUGAAAAGUUUUAAAUAUUUUCUAACAAAGCACCAGUAUUUCUCUUUUUCUCUUAAGGAACAGUACCCUCUUUCAGUUAUAUGGCUACAAUCAGCUCCCUGUUUUUGUACUCUUGGUCUUAAAUCUUUAUUUUAUAACAGUUCUUAUGAAAGCAUCGGUUCAAUCAGUCUUUAUUUAAAAAAAUGCAUUCUGAUAUUAUAAUAGACUGAGGUUAUUACAAAUAUUUAGUUCACUGGGGGCCUGAAAAUUCACCAAGUGAGGGGGUAAUGUGUAAAAUGGAGAUAAAUAAAUGUAGACGACUAAAUUACAGAAAUAAGAGAAUAAGAAGAAUCAAGAUCACAUGUAAAUAUUGUGUUCACACUCCUCAGUUUCUGUUAGCAAUUUAUUUGAAAGGCUUGAUAUUGAGACCUCUUGUUUUUAAGGUUUGUUAGUAGAUGUGUUUAUGUUGACAGAGUCGAACUAAACCUCAUAUUAAACACUAAUGAGCCUUACAGAACAUGCUGUGUUGCACAUCUGCGGAACUACCAUCAUGUUAAACAUCCACUGCCUUUUUUCAGAAAUCAAAAGUGGUUCUUCAAUCAAGGCCCUCACGUGGUUGCUCCAAAA